RNAcentral lists this long non-coding RNA (1047 nucleotides) under Brassica napus (rape). Its description in RNAcentral is "long non-coding RNA (BNAP_LNC011180)". Lineage: Eukaryota; Viridiplantae; Streptophyta; Magnoliopsida; Brassicales; Brassicaceae. The record is from RNAcentral.
CUGGCAUUAUAUUAGUCAAGUUCACAUUUUUUAUUGUGAGUUUGACCAGACAAAGCCAAGUCUAUAUAGGCUAGGUUGGGCCUACAGAUUUACAAGAAGAAGAAAAAGAGAGAUAUGGGUUAGACAUAUUGUCGAAGCUCAAUAAUGCAAUAAGACGUUAGGUUAAAUGUAUAGAUGCAUAUAUAUGUUUAGCUCUUAUGUCUUGUAACGGAAGCAAGCAAGAUUAAGCGGCUAUCUCUCUAGGAUUCUUGUAAGCAAAGAAUAAGCUUGUAUUACUCAGAUCCAUAGUGAAAAUUGACGGCAAGAGAUCCCUCUCCAGAUGUACCGGUUUGAAGCCGGGAACUGGGUUAACAAACUUGUUGUGUUCUUGCCUUUACUGCUUGUUUAGUGUGUGCUGCAAGAGAUCAAAAUCUCAACACUGAUUUUAUUUGGAUGUUUGAUUCUUACUCAAAAAGCUUUUAACUCAAAGGGUGAAUGAUAUACAGAUCUUCCCCAGAAAUACAUUAUGGUAAAAGAUUCUAAAGAGAAAACUUAUGAGCGACAUGAACUUUUGAAUUAUUUACAAAAUGUCAGAGGGAUUACCCAUUACUUGAUUAUAAAUUUGCUAACAGAAGGAUCAUCAAUAUAUGCAGUGGCAGAACUAGGUGGGGAGUUGAGUCUGGUAUUAUAUUAGCCAAGUUCACAUUUCUUAUUGUGAGUUUGACCAGACAAAGCCAAGUCUAUACGGACCAGGUUGGGCUUACAGAUUUACAAGAAGAAGAAAAAGAGAGAUAUGUGGGUUAGACAUAUUGUCGAAGCCCAAUAAUGCAAUAAGACGUUAGGUUAAAUGUAUAGAUGUAUUGUGAAAAUUACUCAGAUCCAUAGUGAAAGUUGAGGGCAAGAGAUCCCUCUCUAGAUGUACCGGUUUGAGGCAGGGAACUGGGUUAACAAAGUUGUGUUCUUGCCUUUACUGCUCGUCUAGUGUGUGCUUCAGGAGAUCAAAAUAUCAACACUUAUUUAUUUGGAUGUUUGAUUCUUACUCAUUACACUACAAGAAAACACAGUUUU